This 300-nucleotide ribosomal RNA is filed under the name uncultured Bacillus sp. RNAcentral's name for it is "bacterial SSU rRNA". It matches the Rfam family "Bacterial small subunit ribosomal RNA", at positions 496 to 795 of the family's 1533-position model. The record is from RNAcentral. Lineage: Bacteria; Bacillati; Bacillota; Bacilli; Caryophanales; Bacillaceae.
GCUAAGGUGGGGCCUGGAGGCGAGGUAAUGCGAGGGGGGGUAGGGUGGGUCGGAAUUACUGGGCGUAAAGCGCACGUAGGCGGCUUUCUAAGUCGGGGGUGAAAUCCUGGGGCUCAACUCCAGAACGGCCUUCGAUACUGGAGAGCUCGAGUCCGGGAGAGGUGAGUGGAACUGCGAGUGUAGAGGUGAAAUUCGUAGAUAUUCGCAAGAACACCAGUGGCGAAGGCGGCUCACUGGCCCGGUACUGACGCUGAGGUGCGAAAGCGUGGGGAGCAAACAGGAUUAGAUACCCGAUUAGUC